Molecule: ribosomal RNA, 466 nt
Filed under: uncultured Rhodocyclaceae bacterium
Lineage: Bacteria; Pseudomonadati; Pseudomonadota; Betaproteobacteria; Rhodocyclales; Rhodocyclaceae
Description: bacterial SSU rRNA
Rfam family: Bacterial small subunit ribosomal RNA
Source: RNAcentral
CCUACGGGCGGCUGCAGUGGGGAAUUUUGGACAAUGGGGGCAACCCUGAUCCAGCCAUGCCGCGUGAGUGAAGAAGGCCUUCGGGUUGUAAAGCUCUUUCAGCCGGGAAGAAAUCGCAUCUCCUAAUACGGGGUGUGGAUGACGGUACCGGAAUAAGAAGCACCGGCUAACUACGUGCCAGCAGCCGCGGUAAUACGUAGGGUGCGAGCGUUAAUCGGAAUUAUUGGGCGUAAAGCGUGCGCAGGCGGUUUCGUAAGACAGAUGUGGAAUCCCCGGGCUCAACCUGGGAACUGCAUUUGUGACUGCGAGGCUAGAGUAUGGCAGAGGGGGGUGGAAUUCCACGUGUAGCAGUGAAAUGCGUAGAGAUGUGGAGGAACACCGAUGGCGAAGGCAGCCCCCUGGGCCAAUACUGACGCUCAUGCACGAAAGCGUGGGGAGCAAACAGGAUUAGAUACCCUAGUAGUCG